UAAUUAAUUAUAUUAAACUUAAAAUCAGUAGAAAAGGGAUUUAGGGUUAGAAUACGUGACCUUUCACCUCUCACGCGAAGUUCAGGAUCUCUCUUCAUCCUUCUUCACUCGCGGCGGCGCACCAUUUCCUCUCCGAUGGAGCUCAAACCACCGCCGCGUCCUUCGCCUCAAUCUUCUUCAUGUCAAAUCGAUGCCUCCCUCAGCUCGUCUUCGGUUACUGGAGUGGAGAACAAACGCGAAACGGAAAGAAUACCAGAAAGAUUCCAAGAGCUCCAAAUGCGAAACAAACACGAGGAAACGGAGAAAUUAUUCAGGGCUGACUUGGAACAAAUUUAUGAACUGAAACCGUAUGUCUUCCGUGAGCUGAAAUGAAGUGCAUAGAAUUCCGAGCUCGGUAUUUUCAAAUGAAUUUGAUUUUUUUGCCGGUUAUGCAGGCUUUGACUACUGUACUGAUGUUGCAGAGUUCGCUUGCAGCCGAUUAGAGAAUGAGACAUGGUGGUUUGUAAUGAAUGGCGAUUCGACGAUGUCGGUUCAACGUGUUAUUUUUGCAAGAUACAUCAAUGUGCUCCUUAACAACCCCAACCGGUGAAUCACACCGUUUCAACUUCCAUCCAGCAUUACGAUCAUACAGAGAAUUAUAACUUCAGAUUUCUGAGCUUCAUGAGAAGAUCCAGCGAAUGCAGUUCGUUGAAGAACAUCGGCACAAGGUUCCAGAAUAGGAGUGCGUUCUUGGUACAUGCUCGGUGUAGAACGUAUCAAUGAAUUCAUCGUGCCUGAUCGAGUGUAAUGCAAUUGACGGUUCAAAGUUGUAAUGAACCUCCCUCUUUUGUAAUAUACUUUUAUGCAGGAUUUUGGUUAGGAUUUUCUCCUGCUGCAAAGUUGCAUUUUUGUUGUAGUUUUUUCAAUUCUGGCCUUUUUGUAAUGUGUGAUGGAUGUAUUGGUUUUGGAUAUGGCUUCCUCUUGUUUGAUGUAUCAUGAUCUUUUUAUGAACAUUUGAUGUUCAGGUUGCUUUAUGUACAGUACCAAUGUGUAGGCCCGAGAUCUUCUGGAACUGAAUGUGACUGGCUAGCAUGAGCAUUGUUUA
Long non-coding RNA from Vicia villosa (hairy vetch), 1084 nucleotides. RefSeq lists it as uncharacterized. Lineage: Eukaryota; Viridiplantae; Streptophyta; Magnoliopsida; Fabales; Fabaceae. The transcript is spliced from 4 exons. The record is from RefSeq and is a predicted model, not a curated record.